CCUACGGGCGGCAGCAGUGGGGAAUAUUGCACAAUGGGGGAAACCCUGAUGCAGCGACGCCGCGUGAGUGAAGAAGUCAUUCGUUAUGUAAAGCUCUAUCAGCAGGGAAGAAAAUGACGGUACCUGAGUCAGAAGCCCCGGCUAACUACGUGCCAGCAGCCGCGGUAAUACGUAGGGGGCAAGCGUUAUCCGGAUUUACUGGGUGUAAAGGGAGCGUAGACGGCAGUGCAAGUCUGGAGUGAAAGGCGGGGGCUCAACCCCCGGACUGCUCUGGAAACUGUACGGCUGGAGUGCAGGAGAGGUAAGUGGAAUUCCUAGUGUAGCGGUGAAAUGCGUAGAUAUUAGGAGGAACACCAGUGGCGAAGGCGGCUUACUGGACUGUAACUGACGUUGAGGCUCGAAAGCGUGGGGAGCAAACAGGAUUAGAUACCCGAGUAGUC
Molecule: ribosomal RNA, 440 nt
Filed under: uncultured bacterium
Lineage: Bacteria
Description: partial 16S ribosomal RNA
Rfam family: Bacterial small subunit ribosomal RNA
Source: RNAcentral